GAGGGUUGGCUGAGCGGUCGAAAGCGGCGGUCUUGAAAACCGUUGUGGGUUUGCGCCCACCGGGGGUUCGAAUCCCUCACCCUCC
RNAcentral lists this transfer RNA (85 nucleotides) under marine eukaryotic metagenome. It matches the Rfam family "tRNA". From Rfam's summary of the family: Transfer RNA (tRNA) molecules are approximately 80 nucleotides in length. Their secondary structure includes four short double-helical elements and three loops (D, anti-codon, and T loops). Further hydrogen bonds mediate the characteristic L-shaped molecular structure. tRNAs have two regions of fundamental functional importance: the anti-codon, which is responsible for specific mRNA codon recognition, and the 3' end, to which the tRNAs corresponding amino acid is attached (by aminoacyl-tRNA synthetases). tRNAs cope with the degeneracy of the genetic code in two manners: having more than one tRNA (with a specific anti-codon) for a particular amino acid; and 'wobble' base-pairing, i.e. permitting non-standard base-pairing at the 3rd anti-codon position. The record is from RNAcentral.